Acetohalobium arabaticum DSM 5501 is the source of this 38-nucleotide regulatory RNA element. It matches the Rfam family "Selenocysteine insertion sequence 4". Lineage: Bacteria; Bacillati; Bacillota; Clostridia; Halanaerobiales; Halobacteroidaceae. The record is from Rfam.
GGAACUUGUACUCGUUGCGGUGCAACGAUAUAUAAAGA